UGCGCAGGCGGGCCGUUAAGUCGGCGGUGAAAUCCCGCGGCUCAACCGCGGAACUGCCGUCGAUACUGGCGGUCUAGAGUACGGGAGAGGAAAGCGGAACUCACGGUGUAGCGGUAAAAUGCGUAGAUAUCGUGGGGAACAUCGGUGGCGAAGGCGGCUUUCUGGCCCGAUACUGACGCUCAGGCACGAAAGCCAGGGGAGCGAACA
RNAcentral lists this ribosomal RNA (207 nucleotides) under uncultured bacterium. Its description in RNAcentral is "partial 16S ribosomal RNA". It matches the Rfam family "Bacterial small subunit ribosomal RNA", at positions 568 to 774 of the family's 1533-position model. The record is from RNAcentral.